This 565-nucleotide ribosomal RNA is filed under the name uncultured bacterium. Its description in RNAcentral is "bacterial SSU rRNA". It matches the Rfam family "Bacterial small subunit ribosomal RNA", at positions 338 to 916 of the family's 1533-position model. The record is from RNAcentral.
CCUACGGGAGGCAGCAGUGGGGAAUUUUCCGCAAUGGGCGAAAGCCUGACGGAGCAACGCCGCGUGGGGGAUGAAGGCCUCUGGGCUGUAAACCCCUUUUCUCAAGGAAGAAGACCUGACGGUACUUGAGGAAUAAGCCACGGCUAAUUCCGUGCCAGCAGCCGCGGUAAUACGGGAGUGGCAAGCGUUAUCCGGAAUUAUUGGGCGUAAAGCGUCCGCAGGCGGCCUAUUAAGUCUGUCGUUAAAGCGUGGAGCUCAACUCCAUUUAAGCGAUGGAAACUGGAAGGCUAGAGUGUGGUAGGGGCAGAGGGAAUUCCCGGUGUAGCGGUGAAAUGCGUAGAUAUCGGGAAGAACACCAGUGGCGAAGGCGCUCUGCUGGGCCAUAACUGACGCUCAUGGACGAAAGCCAGGGGAGCGAAAGGGAUUAGAUACCCCUGUAGUCCUGGCCGUAAACGAUGAACACUAGGUGUCGGGGGAAUCGACCCCCUCGGUGUCGUAGCUAACGCGUUAAGUGUUCCGCCUGGGGAGUACGCACGCAAGUGUGAAACUCAAAUGAAAUUGACGG